RNAcentral lists this unclassified non-coding RNA (317 nucleotides) under Basidiomycota sp. RNAcentral describes it as "partial contains small subunit ribosomal RNA, internal transcribed spacer 1, and 5.8S ribosomal RNA". The stretch from base 1 to 47 matches the Rfam family "Eukaryotic small subunit ribosomal RNA", at positions 1785 to 1831 of the family's 1831-position model. The record is from RNAcentral. Lineage: Eukaryota; Fungi; Basidiomycota.
AAAGUCGUAACAAGGUUUCCGUAGGUGAACCUGCGGAAGGAUCAUUAUUGAAUAAACUUGGAUUUGGUUGUUGCUGGCUUUUAGGAGCAUGUGCACAUCAAUUCCAUUUCUUCAACCUCCUGUGCACCUUUUGUAGGCCUGAAUACCUCUCGAGGAAGCUUUUCUCGGUCUGAGAGUUUGCUGUGCGAAAGCCCAGCUUUUCUUGGGUUUCUGGCCUAUGUUUUAUAUACACCCCAAAUAAUGUAAAUAGAAUGUCACAAUAGGCUUUGUGCCUUUAAAAACAAAUACAACUUUCAACAACGGAUCUCUUGGCUCUC